Molecule: ribosomal RNA, 472 nt
Filed under: Stenotrophomonas maltophilia
Lineage: Bacteria; Pseudomonadati; Pseudomonadota; Gammaproteobacteria; Lysobacterales; Lysobacteraceae
Description: bacterial SSU rRNA
Rfam family: Bacterial small subunit ribosomal RNA
Source: RNAcentral
UCGGAAUCUACUUUUUCGUGGGGGAUAACGUAGGGAAACUUACGCUAAUACCGCAAACGACCUACGGGUGAAAGCAGGGGAUCUUCGGACCUUGCGCGAUUGAAUGAGCCGAUGUCGGAUUAGCUAGUUGGCGGGGUAAAGGCCCACCAAGGCGACGAUCCGUAGCUGGUCUGAGAGGAUGAUCAGCCACACUGGAACUGAGACACGGUCCAGACUCCUACGGGAGGCAGCAGUGGGGAAUAUUGGACAAUGGGCGCAAGCCUGAUCCAGCCAUACCGCGUGGGUGAAGAAGGCCUUCGGGUUGUAAAGCCCUUUUGUUGGGAAAGAAAUCCAGCUGGUUAAUACCCGGUUGGGAUGACGGUACCCAAAGAAUAAGCACCGGCUAACUUCGUGCCAGCAGCCGCGGUAAUACGAAGGGUGCAAGCGUUACUCGAAAUUACUGGGCGUAAAGCGUGCGUAGGUGGUCGUUUAA